GGGGAAUAUUGCGCAAUGGGGGGAACCCUGACGCAGCAACGCCGCGUGAAGGAGGAAGGUUUUCGGAUUGUAAACUUCUUUGAUGAGGGACGAACAAGAUGACGGUACCUCAAAAACAAGCCACGGCUAACUACGUGCCAGCAGCCGCGGUAAUACGUAGGUGGCGAGCGUUAUCCGGAAUUACUGGGUGUAAAGGGCGCGCAGGCGGGGAGACAAGUCAGAUGUGAAAUACCGGUGCUUAACACCGGGGCUGCAACUGAAACUGUUUUUCUUGAGUGUCGGAGAGGGAAGCGGAAUUCCCAGUGUAGCGGUGAAAUGCGUAGAUAUUGGGAGGAACACCAGUGGCGAAGGCGGCUUUCUGGACGACAACUGACGUUGAGGCGCGAAAGCGUGGGGAGCAAAC
RNAcentral lists this ribosomal RNA (403 nucleotides) under uncultured bacterium. RNAcentral describes it as "bacterial SSU rRNA". It matches the Rfam family "Bacterial small subunit ribosomal RNA", at positions 356 to 773 of the family's 1533-position model. The record is from RNAcentral.